CCUACGGGGGGCUGCAGUGGGGAAUAUUGCACAAUGGGCGCAAGCCUGAUGCAGCCAUGCCGCGUGUGUGAAGAAGGCCUUCGGGUUGUAAAGCACUUUCAGCGGGGAGGAAGGCGGUGAGGUUAAUAACCUCAUCGAUUGACGUUACCCGCAGAAGAAGCACCGGCUAACUCCGUGCCAGCAGCCGCGGUAAUACGGAGGGUGCAAGCGUUAGUCGGAAUUACUGGGCGUAAAGCGCACGCAGGCGGUCUGUCAAGUCGGAUGUGAAAUCCCCGGGCUCAACCUGGGAACUGCAUUCGAAACUGGCAGGCUAGAGUCUUGUAGAGGGGGGUAGAAUUCCAGGUGUAGCGGUGAAAUGCGUAGAGAUCUGGAGGAAUACCGGUGGCGAAGGCGGCCCCCUGGACAAAGACUGACGCUCAGGUGCGAAAGCGUGGGGAGCAAACAGGAUUAGAUACCCGUGUAGUC
This 465-nucleotide ribosomal RNA is filed under the name uncultured Klebsiella sp. RNAcentral describes it as "bacterial SSU rRNA". It matches the Rfam family "Bacterial small subunit ribosomal RNA", at positions 338 to 795 of the family's 1533-position model. Lineage: Bacteria; Pseudomonadati; Pseudomonadota; Gammaproteobacteria; Enterobacterales; Enterobacteriaceae. The record is from RNAcentral.